CAGUAGCCGCGGUAAAACGGAGGGUGCAAGCGUUAUCCGGAUUUAUUGGGUUUAAAGGGUCCGUAGGCGGAUCUGUAAGUCAGUGGUGAAAUCUCACAGCUUAACUGUGAAACUGCCAUUGAUACUGCAGGUCUUGAGUAAAUUUGAAGUGGCUGGAAUAAGUAGUGUAGCGGUGAAAUGCAUAGAUAUUACUUAGAACACCAAUUGCGAAGGCAGGUCACUAAGAUUUAACUGACGCUGAUGGACGAAAGCGUGGGGAGCGAACAGGAUUAGAUACCCGCGUAGUCCCUGUCUCUUAUAA
This 301-nucleotide ribosomal RNA is filed under the name uncultured bacterium. RNAcentral describes it as "partial 16S ribosomal RNA". It matches the Rfam family "Bacterial small subunit ribosomal RNA", at positions 509 to 809 of the family's 1533-position model. The record is from RNAcentral.